This 584-nucleotide small RNA is filed under the name Pan troglodytes (chimpanzee). RNAcentral describes it as "processed transcript". The record is from RNAcentral. Lineage: Eukaryota; Metazoa; Chordata; Mammalia; Primates; Hominidae.
AAAUUCAUGCUGCUGCAUUCAGCUGGAAUAUCAUAAUGCAUGAAGGCAGCUGGGGCAUAUCUCAUACACGUGUGCCAACAGAAUCUCGGCCAGGUCAUGUAGCUCUGAUAGCUGGGUUUUAUGAAGAUGUCAGUGCAGUUGCCAAAGGAUGGAAGGAAAAUCCUGUAGAGUUUGAUUCUCUUUUUAAUGAAAGUAAAUACACAUGGAGCUGGGGAAGCCCAGAUAUCCUGCCUAUGUUUGCCAAAGGUGCUAGUGGAGACCACGUUUAUACAUAUAGUUAUGAUGCUAAAAGAGAGGAUUUUGGUGCUCAAGAUGCAACAAAACUGGAUACGUGGGUUUUUGAUAAUGUUAAGGACUUCUUUCAUCAUGCCAGAAACAACCAGUCUUUGUUUUCUAAAAUAAAUGAAGAGAAAAUAGUUUUUUUCUUACAUUUAUUAGGAAUAGAUACAAACGGACAUGCUCAUCGACCAUCCUCGAGAGACUACAAGGACAAUAUUAAAAAAGUUGAUGAUGGAGUUAAAGAAAUCGUGUCUAUGUUUAACCAUUUCUAUGGAAAUGAUGGGAAAACAACAUUUAUCUUUACC